GUAAUAUAGUAAUUUAACUAUUUGAUAGUUAUUAUUUUCAAGUAAGUGUAUACUUUAAAAUGUAGGAUGAUAAGUGUACUAUAGGUUAAAAUUAAUAUAUCGUAAUAUUUUCUAAGCUGAAAUAAUGCUCUAUUCCCUAUAAUUUUUUAGGGAUCAGAAUUAAGGGAUUUUAGGGUUUAAGGAUUACGGCUUAGGAUUUUUAAGAUUUUUAGGGUUUAGAAUUUUUAGGGAUUAAGACUUAGGAUUUAGAUUUAGGAUUUAUGGUUUAGAGUUUAAGGUUUACGAUUUAGAUUUUAGUGUUUAGUGCUUAUGGUUUAGAGUUUAAGGGUUAUCAAUUAGGGAUUAGAG
This 348-nucleotide long non-coding RNA is filed under the name Carica papaya (papaya). Its description in RNAcentral is "long non-coding RNA (CPAP_LNC009900)". The record is from RNAcentral. Lineage: Eukaryota; Viridiplantae; Streptophyta; Magnoliopsida; Brassicales; Caricaceae.